CACGUAGGGGGCGAGCGUUGUCCGGAUUUAUUGGGCGUAAAGAGCUCGUAGGCGGCUCGGUAAGUCGGGUGUGAAACCUCCAGGCUCAACCUGGAGACGCCACCUGAUACUGCUGUGGCUAGAGUCCGGUAGGGGAGUGUGGAAUUCCCGGUGUAGCGGUGAAAUGCGCAGAUAUCGGGAGGAACACCAGCGGCGAAGGCGGCACUCUGGGCUGAUACUGACGCUGAGGAGCGAAAGCGUGGGUAGCAAACAGG
This 254-nucleotide ribosomal RNA is filed under the name uncultured bacterium. RNAcentral describes it as "partial 16S ribosomal RNA". It matches the Rfam family "Bacterial small subunit ribosomal RNA", at positions 524 to 776 of the family's 1533-position model. The record is from RNAcentral.